Molecule: ribosomal RNA, 253 nt
Filed under: uncultured bacterium
Lineage: Bacteria
Description: partial 16S ribosomal RNA
Rfam family: Bacterial small subunit ribosomal RNA
Source: RNAcentral
UACGAAGGGGGCUAGCGUUGUUCGGAAUUACUGGGCGUAAAGCGCACGUAGGCGGACAUUUAAGUCAGGGGUGAAAUCCCGGAGCUCAACUCCGGAACUGCCUUUGAUACUGGGUGUCUUGAGUGUGGAAGAGGUGAGUGGAAUUCCGAGUGUAGAGGUGAAAUUCGUAGAUAUUCGGAGGAACACCAGUGGCGAAGGCGGCUCACUGGUCCAUUACUGACGCUGAGGUGCGAAAGCGUGGGGAGCAAACGGG